UGGUGGGCUUUUCUGUGCAAUUAAUGUAUUAAGAUAGGAUUUCUGCCUUCGUGCAUUAUUAUUCCUCUGCAACCCGGGUCUGCAAAGCAGCCGGCUGAGCCGUGCCCUCCGGCCUGACGUCUGGAGACCUGCGCACCGGUCGCGUGGACGCGAGGCUCUUGUCCGUAACCCGCGUGGCCUCAGAGGGGGCCAAAAGCAAGCUCGGCCUCACGUUGCUGCUUACUCUGUGUCAUGCAGCCCCCUGCUCCAGCCUCCUUGCCCUAUUGCUGAUGACGGUGCAGAUGACAGUUUCUUUGCAGAAGAUCCCCCUGAUUUUGCAGACCUUGAAGGAACUGAGCUAAGCGACCUCGAAGGCACUUUUAUACAGGUGGAAGAGAAGAUCGCUGAAGACGCUGAAGCCGAGGUUGAAGGUAUAAUACACAACAUGGGCUGAUGUUGAAUUGCAGUGAAUGAGGUGCCCGGUGAGGGCAAAGACGGAGCCGUGCCCUUCUGACCACUCACUGCAUGGAAUUGAACCCCUUGUCUGUGGCUUGUCUGUGGCACGGGCCUGCUUGCUCAGUUUGGGUUUUUCACUAGCCAAAAUCAUCCUGUGGAAAGGGUACACUGGCAAUAUUACUGUCAGCUGGAGCCAGAUAUGAAGGGCUGGUCCUUACCGGUCAUUAGUCUUGUUGAUUAAACCAACCCUGAUGUGAAAUAGGAGCUUCUCCUUCAAGCGAAGGAGAAACGCAGGGUGGGGAAAAGGAUUUUCAUUGCUGCUUUGUUCACUUUGGGAAAUAAUCUGUCACAUAAAGUGCAUGCUAAUGUCAUGUUUUAGGAGGUAAUGGAUGGUUAAUGAAAAUUAGCUGUGGAGCUGCUAUCGCAGCCUGAGAGAGCGAUGCUAAUUCCUG
RNAcentral lists this long non-coding RNA (887 nucleotides) under Struthio camelus australis. RNAcentral describes it as "lncRNA (ENSSCUG00000001384.1)". Lineage: Eukaryota; Metazoa; Chordata; Aves; Struthioniformes; Struthionidae. The record is from RNAcentral.